AUAUUACUAAGCGGAGGAAAAGAAAUUAACUAAGAUUGCCUUAGUAAGGGCGACUGAACCGGCAAGAGCUCGAAAUUAGAAUCGGCUGUUCAAAGAACUACCGAAUUGUAAUCAGGCCCGCCUAAAUACAAAUGUUGACUAAAGUGCAUCGAAAGGCACGCCAAAGAGGGUGAAAGUCCCGUUAGGUCUUCGUUUGAGUAAGGGGGGUCCCAAAAGAGUCGGGUAGCUUGGAACUGCUGCCCUAAGAGGGAGAUAUGGUUCUUCCAAAGCUAAAUAAGGAUGGGAGACCGAUAGCGCACAAGUA
Molecule: ribosomal RNA, 304 nt
Filed under: uncultured eukaryote
Lineage: Eukaryota
Description: partial large subunit ribosomal RNA
Rfam family: Eukaryotic large subunit ribosomal RNA
Source: RNAcentral